GGGAGGCGCUCUAGCGCGGCGGCUACGUCUCGUUUGCCGCGCUCUCGGCUGCCCCCUGCAGGCAUGGAGGGACCCGGGGGCGGCAAUAACCGGGAGCCGCGUGCUGGAGGGGGCGAACCGGGGAGCCGCAGAGCGAGGUGUGAGCGCCGAUGUCCUCUGAUGGUGGCAGCGCUGCUCCGUUACCACAUCAACACGGCCUGGAGGGAGCCCACAGGGGGACGGGACUUGUCCGUCUGUCCCUUGUCCCGCUGUCUGUCCAUCCCAGCGUGCUGGAACUGCUGGCGGCCGUGUGGCCGAGCUCCAAAAGGCGUCGAGGCAUUCCAUGCCGUGCAUGGGCAACAAGAACUCGUGCCCAGGUUGCCCCUGCCCGGUGGCCGCCGGCUCGUCUUUCCGUCCAUCGAGGACAGCUUUAAUUACCCCCGGAGUCUCCCUGCCGCCGGAUCCGGUUCCCAUCAAUGAUUCAUGCCCUGCUGUGGGAAGGGGUUCCUCGGGUGCCGGGCUGGGACCGGGGGGAUUUUCCGACCUUUCCAGCGUUAAAUUGGUGCGGACGGACCUGGUGGUGGUUGGAGGUGCACAGGGCGCCCCGUGGGGGACGAACGCAACUGCCUGCAGAGCCCCGAGGUCCCCAUGGGUGUCCUGAGCUGCAUGAAGUACCUGAUGUUUGUCUUCAACGUGCUGGUGUUUGCCGGGGGGAUCUGCCUGCUGAGCGUGGGGGUCUGGGUGGCCGUGGACCCGGCUGGUUUCCAGAACAUUGUGGCUGCCAAGCCUGUGCUGAGCGUGGGUGCCUACCUGCUGCUGGCUGUGGGCAUCGCCCUCUCGCUGCUGGGCUUCCUGGGCUGCUGCGGGGCGCUGCGCCGGAGCCGG
RNAcentral lists this long non-coding RNA (864 nucleotides) under Chrysolophus pictus (golden pheasant). RNAcentral describes it as "lncRNA (ENSCPIG00010006473.1)". Lineage: Eukaryota; Metazoa; Chordata; Aves; Galliformes; Phasianidae. The record is from RNAcentral.